Molecule: ribosomal RNA, 373 nt
Filed under: Bacillus sp. Ru63
Lineage: Bacteria; Bacillati; Bacillota; Bacilli; Caryophanales; Bacillaceae
Description: bacterial LSU rRNA
Rfam family: Bacterial large subunit ribosomal RNA
Source: RNAcentral
UGGAGUGGUAUCCAUAUCUGAAUUCAUAGGAUAUGAGAAGGCAGACCCGGGGAACUGAAACAUCUAAGUACCCGGAGGAAGAGAAAGCAAAUGCGAUUCCCUGAGUAGCGGCGAGCGAAACGGGAUUAGCCCAAACCAAGAGGCUUGCCUCUUGGGGUUGUAGGACACUCUGUACGGAGUUACAAAGGAACGAGGUAGAUGAAGAGGUCUGGAAAGGCCCGCCAUAGGAGGUAACAGCCCUGUAGUCAAAACUUCGUUCUCUCCUGAGUGGAUCCUGAGUACGGCGGAACACGUGAAAUUCCGUCGGAAUCCGGGAGGACCAUCUCCCAAGGCUAAAUACUCCCUAGUGACCGAUAGUGAACCAGUACCGUGA